This 7761-nucleotide long non-coding RNA is filed under the name Triticum aestivum (bread wheat). RNAcentral's name for it is "long non-coding RNA (TAES_LNC008915)". Lineage: Eukaryota; Viridiplantae; Streptophyta; Magnoliopsida; Poales; Poaceae. The record is from RNAcentral.
AACAAGAAUGGGAUAAAGAGUUGGCUUACAAUUGCCACUUCACACAAUACAUAAAUUAAACAUACAUCAUUCAGAGUACAAUCAAGAUCCGACUAUGGAACCAAAAUAAAAGAAGACAACCCCAAAUGCUAGAUCCCUGAUCGUCCCAACUAGGCUCCACUACUGAUCAACAGGAAACGAAUACUAACGACCAAGGUCCUCGUCGAACUCCCACUUGAGUUCGGUAGCAUCACCUGCACUGGUAUCGUCGGCACCUGCAACUGUUUUGGUAGAAUCUGUGAGUCACGAGGACUCAGCAAUCUCACACCCGCGAGAUCAAGACUAUUUAAGCUUAUAGGAAGGAUGGGGUAAUGAGGUGGAGCUGCAGCAAGCACUAAGCAAAUAUGGUGGCUAACAUACGCAAAUAAGAGCGAGAAGAGGAGCACGCAACGGUCGAGAAGCUAGAAGUGAUCCUGAAACUACUUACGUCCAAACAUAACCCAAAACCGUGUUCACUUCCCGGACUCCGCCGAAAAGAGACCAUCACGUCUACACAUGCGGUUGAUGCAUUUUAAUUAAAUCAAGUGUCAAGUUCUCUACAACCGGACAUUAACAAAUUCCCAUCUGCCACAUAAUCGCGGGCACGACUUUCGAAAGAUAAUACCCCGCAGGGGUGUCCCAACUUAGCCCAUGAUAAGCUCUCACGAUCAACGAAGGAUAUUCCUUCUCCUGGGAAGACCCGAUCAGUCUCGGAAUCCCGGUUACAAGACAUUUCGACAAUGGUAAAACAAGUCCAGCAAAGCCGCCCGAUGUGCCGACGAUCCCGAUAGGAGCUGCACAUAUCUCGUUCUCAGGGAAACACCGGAUGAGCACUACGUACAACUAAAACCAGACCUCAAGUUUCCCCGAGGGGGCGCUGCAAGUGGCUCUAGUUCGGACCAACACUUAGAGAAGCAUUGGCCCGGGGGGGCUAAAUAAAGAUGACCCUCGGGUUGGCCGACCCAAGGGAAGGGUAAUAGGUUGUUAGGCAAAUGUAAAACUAAGGUUGGGCCUUGCUGGAGGAGUUUUAUUCAAAGCAAACUUCAAGGGGUUCCCAUAGCACCCAACCGCGUAAGGAACGCAAAAUCAAGGAACAUAACACCGGUAUGACGGAAAACUAGGACGGCAAGAGUGGAACAAAACACCAGGCAUAAGGCCGAGCCUUCCACCCUUUACCAAGUAUAUAGAUGCAUUAAUUAAAAUAAGAGAUAUUGUGAUAUCCCAACAUAUCCAUGUUCCAACAUGGAACAAACUUCAGCUUCAACUGCAACUAGCAACGCUAUAAGAGGGGCUGAGCAAAAUCGGUAACAUAGCCAAACAACAGUUUGCUAGGAAAGGUGGGUUAGAGGCUUGACAUGGCAAUAUGGGAGGCAUGAUAUAGCAAGUGGUAGGUAGCGCGGCAUAGCAAUAGAGCGAACAACUAGCAAGCAAAGAUAGAAGUGAUUUCGAGGGUAUGGUCAUCUUGCCUGGGAUCCCGCAAGGAAGAAGAUCAAGUCCAUAAGGUAGACGAACCAGCGUAGUCGAACGGAUCCUCACAAUCGCAACGUUACCGGAACUACCAAGGAGAAGCGCAACCGGAAAGAAGCAAACAUCAUGGUAAACAACCAUCACAUAAACAUGGCAUGAUGCACAAUCAAGUAUGAUGCAUGUUCGGUUUAAAUGAGGCAUGGCAUGGCAAAGUGCAACAAACAAUACUACAAGUUAAGUGGAGCUCAAUAUGCAACGAGUUGCAUAUUGACGAAACACCACAUCAAAUAUUUAGUUCUCUCUUGUUUAUGUACCCAACAAUAUUAAACGUUGUUAAACAUGACAAGAGGUGAAGCAUAAUUAAACUAACUAUUUAGGCAAGUUUAAAUGAGGCCGGAAACAACAAACAACAAUUCUGGAAAAACCUCACAUGCAUAUUUUGAAUUUGCUACUGUUCUGCCCAAAAACAUAUUUUAAUGUUGUUAAACAGUAAAGCAAAGUGCAUCAAGUUAAUCUAUGCAUUUUUCUACCCCAUUUACAUAUAAAGUUUAUUAAAUUCGGAGCUACGGUUAAUUAGUUACGAAAUAAAUCAUUUUAACAUGGCAUUUAUGCAAAAUUAAACAAACAGCAAGUUAAACAUUUUUAACAUGGAUGAAAGUAGCAUAUUAUGAAACUAGAUGAAAUUCUAAGCAUUUUACAUGUUUAAAAAAUUUCAAUCCGAUGCACGUUUGUUGAGUUAUUAUAUGCAUGAACAUGAGGAUGCAAUCUGUAAACAUGCAAUUUUCGGGAUAAUUGGACAAAUUCGCAGCAGCAGAAAAAAAAUACUACGGGCCGAAACUGGCUGGUCCAACAUGCACAGGAGAGGGGCGGGUGCUGCUCACCAUGGGCCAUGGCCCAGUCGGUGGAGAGUUAGGCCGGCCCUUGGCGAGGCAAGAGGAGGCCCCGCGCGGGCAACGUGGUUCUCGUCCACGCUGGUGCUGGAACAGGUCAACGAGGGUGCAGCGCUGGUCUCCUCGAUCGUGAAGCAGGGGAUGCAGGGGUCGACGGCUACGGCCGGGCUUGGCGACGCGGAUGGCGUGGAGGCGAACUGAUCCGGGCGGAGCCUCGCCGGAAUGAAGCAGGAGCGGCGGCGUGGGACUUGAGGCGCAGGGGCGAGGCGAGCUCGAGCAGAUCCGGAGGGUGGCGCUGCUCGGAGGUCACCGGACGAAGCAGGACGACGCGGCGGCGCCAUGGAGCUUGGGCGAGCUCCUGCUCGUUCCUGGGAAGGAGAGGGGGCCACUGUGAGAUGGAGAGGGAAAAAACAGGAGGAGGAGAGGUCGCAGGGUUGGCCUGGACCUUGUGACGACGGCUGCGGCUUGUCGUUCGGCGCAGGGUGAAGCAGAGGAGGCAGGAGCCGGGUCACGGCAGGCCAAGGCGGGGCACGGCAGCAUGGCGCAGGGGCGUUAGCGGAACGGGGUCGCGCCGGGGAAGAUAGGGGGUACCGUGGCGGCAUUCUCGUCGAGGUCCUCCGAGAAGAAGAUGGCGGUGACGCUGUUACAGAGAAAAGAGAGGGAGUCCAGUGAGACAGAGAGCUUCAGCGAAGGAGGGAAAAGGGGCAGGGCGGUGAGGACGGCCUGCUGGUUCGGGCGAGGAACGGAGCAACUCCGGCGAUGGCGCUCGCCGACGCGGGGAGGUGGUCCUAGACGAGGAGGCGUGCUGGUUGGCAGCGAGUGGAGGCCGAGGGGAUUUGGAUCGGGGGCGCAGCCACUGAUUGGAUGGGGAUGGAUUUUGGAUCUGGGAGGAUCCUGAUGUAGAUGGUGGCGGUGCGAGGGUAGGAUCCCUAGAAAUUAGGUGGUUUGUCUAGGUUAGGUUAGGGGGUCUAUAUAUAGCAAGUGGAUUUUUGGAUAAGGGCAUUUGGUCCCUCCGAUCUUAAUCGGACGGUCCCGGAUAAAUAGGCUAGGGAGACCAAAUAAGAAAACGGAGAUGUUUUAUAGAUGUUUGGGGAUGAUCCGGAUCCAAUGGUCACGACUGAGCGGUUCGAGUUCGGGACAGCUUGACGCGCACGCAAGGGGGUCUAUGCACUGUGCAGAGAGAUGAGGCGGACAAAGAAGAGGGAAACAAGAACCCGGUUGGUCUCGAAAUGGUCAACGAAGGCAGGGGACACGGCAACUACAAACGGAUGCAAGCUUUAUGAUAACAUGCAAAUGCAAUGCGCAUGAUGCUAUGAGAUGAGAUGCAACAAACAAAUAAAUAACACAACUGACUCGCAAAACAAGGAAGGCAUCUGGAGCGUCGGUCUCGGGGCAUCACAACACUCCUCCACUUACAAGAGAUCUCGUCCUGAGAUCUAAGGAUGGCACCAGAGAGAAACGAAAGAGGAAGAGGUAAAACAAAGUUGCUUCUUUGAAAAACAAGUGAAACCACAAACCUUAAAGGUUGAAAAGACAUGAAAAGAACACAAGGGUAAGGAUGAAUGGAAACCACUGGUUGAAAUGAGAUGUACAAGGAAUGAUAAAGAACAAUUACGACAACACUCCAGUUGAAAAUGGAAGGGAUAGAAUACGAACUUGGCAAAAUGAAAGCACUUGGAUGAGACUCCUGUUAAAAGAGGAAUGAUAGACACAACACUCCGGUUAAAUGGAUAAGCAAUAAAAGAACAUGAUCUUGUGAAAACGAGAUGAUUGGUAAUGAGAGCAACAUCACAAUGCCUCUGGGACGAACGAAUAAAAGAUAGAUCGUCGGAAUAAGAGAACGGAGAAGGAAAUGAUAACUUCUACCACAAUUGAAUUUGGGAAGCAUCCUUCCAAGAAGGUUAGAAUGGAGUUGUUGGAAAACCAACAACGAAAAGAAUAAGCUUGUAGUGGGCUUAUGGAAAACUUCUCAAAAUUAUGAGGUGAAAUUUUUGCCACUAACGAAAACAAUUGCUUGCUUGAGAUCAACGAAGAGAUGAAAUCUUCUCCCGCCGAGAGGAUGGGAGAAAACUUGGAUCAUUGAUAGACACCACAAUUAGCAACAUUCCUUCGAGAAGGCUUUAAGUGAAAUCUAUACCAAGAUAACGUCAACAAAGAAAUUGUUGGGUUGAAAAGAUACCAUGAAUGAAGAAAAUAUGAUGGGUUUAAAUAUCUCAUUCUUGAUAACUUGUGAAUCAUGAAACAUGAAAAGAAAUUGUCAAGAAUGACAUAUCACCAUCUCAAAAUAAGGUAGAAAGAAUUGCACUUCGGAAUGCAAGAUGAAGAAUGCUUGGACUCCUCAAAACAUAACAUGUGUUAAGCACCCUGUUUAAUUUUGAGUAUAUCUUGGCGGAUCAUAACUUCGAGAGAAUUCUUGAAGAACAAUUGAAGAAUGAAAGGAAUCCCUUGAUGAGCCACCAUGCUGAUCCUCCAUGAAGAACUCCGAUAAUAAAAGAAUGAUCAAACAAAAGGGAAAGUUGGAAAGAACUCUGGGAGAAGCCUUGCAAUGAUUAGAUGAAGCUUUGAAAUGAUAUAAUUGAAAUAACUUGGAGCUCCGGAAAGAAAAAUGAACAAAUGAGAUCAAGAAUUUUGAAGAAUCUCUGGAAUAAGGAAUUAAUCACUUGGGUAAAACAAGAAUAAGAAUUAAGUUAUGCAUAUCCUUCACCAAUUUAAAUUGAUGACAAGCAACGGAUUUGGCAUACCACUUAUUCUCGUAGAAAGGAUUAAGAGAGAUAUAGCAUAAACUUAGGAAGGUCUUCAACGAUCCACCGGUAGGAUUUGGAAGAAGGAAUGAAUUGAUAUGAUAACCAAGGAAGGGAACUCUUGAACGAACCACCGUAAGAAUUGAAAAUGAACAAAGAAAAGAUAAAGAAACACCGGGAAGAAUUAUAAAAGAACGAAGAUACUUUAGAGAAUUUAGAUACAUGAGAACGAAGAGAUCAUGAACUAAUUAGAGGAUAUUUGAACGAUGCACCGGUAAGAUUUGGGGAAUGAGAUCUGAAAGCUGAGAAUGAAUAAUACUGAGAUGAUGGGCUCCGGAGAAUCAAACUGAAAAGACUCCUGAAGUGCUUCGGUUGGGUGAAAAGAAUUCUCGCAAUCGAAAAUAAUUAUGAGAGGAUGGCAUCAAGCUAGAACCAUGAAUCUUGAAGAGAAUGGAGCAAGAUUUAAGAGAAACUCUUCUUUGGUCUUCAAAUGUUGAGAAUGACGAUGAGAAACACCACCAUGAAUUGUUGAGAUGCCCCGGGAUGAAAAUUAGAAAGGGUGAACCAACGAUGAAAAGAAUUUGAACAUGAUUUUGGAGAAGGAAUAUGACUGAUGAAAAUUCAUUCUUACGUCACACCUUGAAAAUGAAUUUGGGAAUAGCUCCGGCAAAAUUAGAAGAGUCCGGUAAGAUCCUGGGAAAAGACCUGUGGGUUAGGGCCCCCUCAAAAGAAACACCAUUGAACGAAUUAAAAGAUAGAUUGCACCGGUUGAAUUAAAUGGCUUGAAUAAGGUAAGACCUCGAAAUAGCUAGAAUUGAUGUGGAGUUGAAACACGAAUCUUCAAAGAUAUCUUCAGCACUCCGGAACAAUUGAAUAGCGAGAAGUGGAUGAUUAAGAGGUGCACCGGUACGAGAAAAACAAUUGAAACGAGGAAAAUAUAUGAUCGACAAAGCUUGAAUUGAAUCCACCGGAGAAGAAAAUGAGAACGAAGACGGAUGAACUUGAAGCUCCGUUAGUAUCUUCCUGAGAAUCACCGGAUAAGAACAUUGACGGAAAAGGAUGGAGAGGCUUCCCAUCCAUAAAAGGAUACAUGAUUGAGAAAUCUGAGUCAUUGAAGAAAAGGGUGGGAGGGCGGGAAAACAAAGACAACUUGGGACAGAUGAAGCAAACACCGUUGCAAAGAACUGAGAAUUGAUCUCGCGAAUGUUGAAAUGAUCGGAUCCACUUGAAAAAGAGCACGUCGGUUGGAAAAGAAUUGGCAUGACAAUCCCGAUGAUCAAGAAGGAUUUGGUAUUCACAUAGAAGUAUGAGAACACCGCUUAGGAAAGGUAUGGAAUCAACACCUGACAAUGAAGCAACUCGAAUACCACAACUUAAAACAAAACAAAGGAUUGGCUCGCAGAAUAAGCCAGAAACAAACAUAUGAUAGAGAUUUCGCCCAAGUGUUCGUGAUGAGGCCCCACGGGCACGACGUACAGCGGACGUCACAAAUGACAAACAAGACGUGCCCGAAUUGGCAUAGCCAAGGAUUCUUUAAGACGACUCGCGACCACUGUAAAUCGACUGUGAAAAGCGAACCACUAGACGUUGGACCCCAAUCUCAAAUCAUACAUCCGUCGAAAAGAUAUCCUAGGAGCUACUUGAAUUCCCACCUAUAAAACUCCCAAAACUUUCUGGUUAUGCAAUCUGGUGUUGGGUAUCCAGGGGACGCAAUAUAUCUCACCCAAACUAGCAAUCCCUAGAUCCAGCUGUAUCCAUCCGUCAACACAUAACCAAGAAAACUUCGGAAAUCGUGUACCCCAACCUUCGAAAAGCAUCCGUUAUACGAGCUAUGGCAAUACUCCCGAACUCCCGCCCCAGUACUGGGUGGCAUCGAGGUAAUCUCACCAACAACUGCAUAAAAUAGGUUUUCGAUGUCGGCGAAAAAAACUCAGGUAUUCCAGAACCGCAACGAUAAAGAUGUGACGACAACACGUCGGAGCUCAACUCCCCGGGACACUGCCACAACCCCUAAAUGUCAGGAGGCACCAAGAACAAUGUUCUUGUCACAAAACCAUCGGAACGAUUCCAAGAUACCCGCGUGAUCCUAAAUUUUUUUUGUGAAAUUUGAGGAGAGGAAAGUCAAAACAUCUACGUCAGGAGGCCUCACCGGAGCGACGAAGGGACUGAGGAGUAAAAAGAAUCCUACUCUCUGAUAUAUAUAUAUAUAUAAUCCUAAGAAUCAAAACAUUUUUUUCUAGACUCAACAACGUCAGCGAUUCGAUCAAGCAGAGGGCUCCUAAGUCGGGGAUGGCUCUGAUUACCAACUUGUAACGCCCACGAUGCGGCUAUAUCUCCCACGUGUCGAGGCACGACUUGGAGGCAUAACCGCAUGGUGGUUUUGUCGCAAGAAGGGUCAUCUUCACGCAAUCCCAUGUAAUGAACAAGAAUGGGAUUAAGAGUUGGCUUACAAUCGCCACUUCACACAAUACAUAAAUUAAACAUACAUCAUUCAGAGUACAAUCAAGAUCCGACUACGGAACCAAAAUAAAGGAAGACAACCCCAAAUGCUAGAUCCCCGAUCGUCCCAACUGGGCUCCACUACUGAUCAACAGGAAACAAAACAUAGUAACGACCAAGGUCCUCGUCGAACUCCCACUUGAGUU